Molecule: ribosomal RNA, 459 nt
Filed under: uncultured bacterium
Lineage: Bacteria
Description: partial 16S ribosomal RNA
Rfam family: Bacterial small subunit ribosomal RNA
Source: RNAcentral
CCUACGGGAGGCAGCAGUGCGGAAUCUUGGUCAAUGGCCGGGAGGCUGAACCAGCCAAGUCUCGUUAGGGAAGACUGCCCUACGGGUUGUAAACCUCUUUUGUCAGGGAGCAAGGUGCAGGUCGGGACCUGCUGUGAGAGUACCUGAAGAAAAAGCAUCGGCUAACUCCGUGCCAGCGGCCGCGGUAAUACGGAGGAUGCGAGCGUUAUCCGGAUUUAUGGGGUUUAAAGGGUGCGCAGGGGGAGUAAUAAGUCAGCGGUAACAUUGCGGGGCUAAACCCCGCUGCGCCGUUGAAACUGUGUCCCUUGAGUGCGCGAAGGGUAGGCGGAAUGCGUGGUGUAGCGGUGAAAUGCAUAGAUAUCACGCAGAACUCCGAUCGCGAAGGUAGCCUACCGGCGCGCAACUGACGCUCAUGCACGAAAGCGUGGGUAUCGAACAGGAUUAGAUACCCGAGUAGUC